UGUUUGCGAGUUAAUGCGACGCCUGAGGAAUUGGUCUGAUUUCUGCGGAGAACUUCUGAAAACAUAAGUGUACUUACACUUUUUAGAAAUCCAGUACCAGAAAUUCCGAAAAGGCAUGAAAUCAAACACGGUCAUGUUUACAUUAAUCUCGGUGAAGCACACAUAUUUGGAAUAACAAUACAUCUACCGCAUCCAUUUACUCAUGUCAGAGACCAUGAUACAUAAACACACACAAAGAAAUGAGAAGAAGAAGUAAUACUGACUCAAACGAAAUGCUUAUAUUUGAACAGUCUUGAAACAUUUGCAUUGUUUGAUUACACUAUAUAUUCUAUACGAUCACUAUUAACAUGUACAUAUCAUGUAUAUUAUGGAUAUUGUUUUUUUCUAUAAUGAAUAAUUAUAUAUAAGGAUCAUCUUCAUAUUUUCAUAUAGAAUUGAUAGUCCAAUAUUUGGAAUUAAAUAUACCGGUAA
Molecule: long non-coding RNA, 471 nt
Organism: Mercenaria mercenaria
Lineage: Eukaryota; Metazoa; Mollusca; Bivalvia; Venerida; Veneridae
Exons: 2
Source: RefSeq, a predicted model, not a curated record